GAUGAAGAACGCAGCGAAAUGCGAUAAGUAAUGUGAAUUGCAGAAUUCAGUGAAUCAUCGAAUCUUUGAACGCACAUUGCGCCCGCCAGUAUUCUGGCGGGCAUGCCUGUUCGAGCGUCAUUUCAACCAUCAAGCCCCCGGCUUGUGUUGGGGACCUGCGGCUGCCGCAGGCCCCGAAAACCAGUGGCGGGCUCGCUAGUCACUCCGAGCGUAGUAAUACAUCUCGCUCAGGGCGUGCUGCGGGUUCCGGCCGUUAAAAGCCUUAUUUACCCAAGGUUGACCUCGGAUCAGGUAGGAAGACCCGCUGAACUUAAGCAUAUCAAUAAGCGGAGGA
Molecule: unclassified non-coding RNA, 334 nt
Filed under: soil metagenome
Description: partial contains 5.8S ribosomal RNA, internal transcribed spacer 2, and large subunit ribosomal RNA
Rfam family: 5.8S ribosomal RNA (bases 1-120)
Source: RNAcentral